RNAcentral lists this ribosomal RNA (253 nucleotides) under uncultured bacterium. RNAcentral describes it as "partial 16S ribosomal RNA". It matches the Rfam family "Bacterial small subunit ribosomal RNA", at positions 524 to 776 of the family's 1533-position model. The record is from RNAcentral.
UACGGAGGGUGCAAGCGUUAUCCGGAUUUACUGGGUUUAAAGGGCGCGUAGGCGGGCGCGAAAGUCAGGGGUGAAAUCCCACGGCCCAACCGUGGAAGUGCCUCUGAUACUGCGUGCCUGGAGGGAGGUAGGGGCGUGCGGAACUUCCGGUGGAGCGGUGAAAUGCGUAGAUAUCGGAAGGAACACCGAUGGCGAAAGCAGCGCGCUGGACCUCUUCUGACGCUGAGGCGCGAAAGCCAGGGGAGCGAACGGG